RNAcentral lists this ribosomal RNA (559 nucleotides) under uncultured bacterium. RNAcentral's name for it is "bacterial SSU rRNA". It matches the Rfam family "Bacterial small subunit ribosomal RNA", at positions 119 to 674 of the family's 1533-position model. The record is from RNAcentral.
CGGAAUCUACCUUUUCGUGGGGGAUAACGUAGGGAAACUUACGCUAAUACCGCAUACGACCUUCGGGUGAAAGCAGGGGACCUUCGGGCCUUGCGCGGAUAGAUGAGCCGAUGUCGGAUUAGCUAGUUGGCGGGGUAAAGGCCCACCAAGGCGACGAUCCGUAGCUGGUCUGAGAGGAUGAUCGGCCACACUGGAACUGAGACACGGUCCAGACUCCUACGGGAGGCAGCAGUGGGGAAUAUUGGACAAUGGGCGCAAGCCUGAUCCAGCCAUACCGCGUGGGUGAAGAAGGCCUUCGGGUUGUAAAGCCCUUUUGUUGGGAAAGAAAAGCAGUCGGCUAAUACCCGGUUGUUCUGACGGUACCCAAAGAAUAAGCACCGGCUAACUUCGUGCCAGCAGCCGCGGUAAUACGAAGGGUGCAAGCGUUACUCGGAAUUACUGGGCGUAAAGCGUGCGUAGGUGGUUGUUUAAGUCUGUUGUGAAAGCCCUGGGCUCAACCUGGGAAUUGCAGUGGAUACUGGGCGACUAGAGUGUGGUAGAGGGUAAUGGAAUUCCCGGU